GACAAGCCCAAAGGAAAGCGGAGUGUCCUGUGUGCCACAUGGAACUCGGGGAAAGGAAAUGAUUAAAGCCGUGAGGUUUCCUGGCUCUUCGUGGUGUUUACGCUCCAUGCCGUGUCCAUCACACUCAACUGAUAUUCACCUUGUUGCAGCAGGAAAUGAACCUCAACACAGUAGGAAUCAUCACUCAAUCACAUCAGGACAUUAUUCACUCAGUGAUGGUGGGUAUUGUGGUUUGGAUGUGAAACAUUCCCUGAAGCUGAUAUGUUUGAACAGCUUGUGCUUUGCAGUUGGACGUACUGCUUUGAAAGUACUGAGGGAUGGAGUCCAUGGCCUUAUUCUUGUUACGCUAUGGAAGUAAAGUGGACAUUUAAAUUGCUCACUCCUUCUGGCUGUUGUGACCAAUGCUCUGGUGAACAUUGACUUUGUUCACAUGCUUGCUUUCAAGAGGGCUAGCACAGAAGUGGAGCUGCUGGAGCCUGUGCCUUAGGUUUGCAAUACAUCCAUUCAAAGCAGAAGGAAAUAUAUUAGUGAAACGAAUACAGUGAUGAGUGGAAAUCCUACCUGGAGCACUGGGCUGAUCUGACCAUCUGCAUGUCACUGACUGUGACUUGUCAGGUCUUGGGAUGUCACAUGACUUCAUGUAACUCCAUUGAGAACCCGGUCACACCGUGGAGCCUGGACUGACCUUGAACUAGAAUCCUCAUCCUCAUGAGCAUGCUCAUGUGUAUCUGGUUCAUUCUUCUUUAGACAAUAUCCCUCUCACCAGAUGAAAACUACCAUCAAUAUCCAUCAAUUACCUAAUUAAAAAUCUUAAAUACACG
This 821-nucleotide long non-coding RNA is filed under the name Rattus norvegicus (Norway rat). RNAcentral's name for it is "long non-coding RNA NONRATT011953". The record is from RNAcentral. Lineage: Eukaryota; Metazoa; Chordata; Mammalia; Rodentia; Muridae.